UGCACUUUGAUAUUUAUUUAUUUAAUUUAAACUAUUAAUAAGUGAGAGUUUGGAUACGACGAAGGGUAAAAUCGUCAUUUGACGCUGACAACUGGCUUCCACUUUCUCAUUCCAUUUCACAUUUCAUGCCCGUUUCUUCCGAAACUUUCUUGUGCCAUCUCCCGAUCAAACAACAAAUGGAGGCUUGUGAGCUCUGGGUCUCCAUCUCCAAACGCACCAAAAUUUUAUGUCUCGAACCCAAGUUCUAUUUGAUAACAGCAAUGGAGAGGCCAAAAACAUCAGAUUUAUGUGAAGCUAUGGGUCUCUAUUAUUAUCGACGGACGAACAGACGGUGGGCGUUCAUCAUCUGAACCUUGGUACUGCAACCUUGCUCUAUCUAUUAAACUAUUAAGUGAGAGUUUGGGUACGACGAAGGGUAAAAUCGUCAUUUGACGCUGACAACUGGCUUCCACUUUCUCAUUCCAUUUCACAUUUCAUGCCCGUUUCUUCCGAAACUUUCUUGUGCCAUCUCCCGAUCAAACAACAAAUGGAGGCUUGUGAGCUCUGGGUCUCCAUCUCCAAACACACCGAAAUUUCAUGUCUCGAACCCAAGUUCUAUCUGAUAACAGCAAUGGAGAGGCCAAAAACAUCAGAUUUAUGUGAAGCUAUGGGUCUCUAUUAUUAUCGACGGACCAACGGACGGUGGGCGUUCAUUAUCUGAACCUUGGGUCAUGAAAAAUAAAGAAAUGCUUAUCUCUUUCACCCACUAGGGGUACAUCGGAAUUCGGACCUCUCAUCCUUGUUUCCAGUAGAUGAAGAUUCAAAUGUUCAAUCACAGUCGGACGUAAGUACAAUGUGUAUAACAUAUUUUAUAAUCUGGCGUUUAAGUUUUUAUUAUGAUAAUCCUUAGUUUCAUGUUCCUAACACAUGGAUAUACCUUCUCCAUUGAGGUUAAAAUUUCAAUUGCAGAUGAGCUCCAGUAUAUUUACGUUUUAAUAUGUAACUACAAACAAAAAAAAGAAUUCCAAUUGGAAGAGUAAAUUAUUAUGUGAAAAUGCAAUCAACCAAAGGUGUUGAAUCCAGGUUAUGUUUUGAUCUAAUUUUAUAGUCAUAUUAAUACUAAUUUAGUACAAGGAUCUUUAUCUUCCUAUCAAAAUAGUGUUAAUCAAAUACUGUUACAAGUUGGAUAUUAUCCCUUGCUGCAGAUGAUAUUUAUCAUGUAACUCCAAUUAAGGUUCCAAUUCUGGAUAUAUUUUGCUUCAUAAAAGGUAUAAAUUCUGGCUAUAAAUAAAAUUUCAUCUAACAGCAUCUAAUGGUUCUACUAUCAUUAAAGUUAAACAAUUUAUACAUGUCUACUACACGGUUGAACUUGACCCCACUUGUGGGAUUACACAUUUACACUGGGCAUGUUGUUGUUGUACUACACAGUUGAACUUGCAAAAAGCUCAAUAGUUUUUCCCAAGGAGUCCCUGCCAUUGCCAGAUAUUCAAAGUCGGCUUACUCACAAACUGUUCAGAUACCAAGCAAAAAAAUCAUUUGCCGAACAACAACAGCAACAUACUCAGUGAAAUUAAUUCAUAUUCUGUAAUGCGUUGAAAAAGAAACAUUUUUCAUUCUCUCUCAUGCCAAUCUCAACUGACAUUAUCGAAUGCAGCAAAAGAAAGAAUCUUUUUGUUGCAAUGAUGAAGAAAAUCCUUCUUUUGCUCUGAUAAAGAAAAAGUAUUACCAACUGGACAAGGUAAAUUGUUAAAGAUGAAACAAAAUCGGAGUUAACUACUCCAUUGGAAAUGAAAUGGUCAGCAAUAACUUGCUCUUUUUUAUUCUUUCUAUAAAUAUAUAUUACAGCUUAUCCUCAAUAACUCUGUUAUGCGAUAUUAUGACUGAGGCGUGAAUCUUCAAUUAAUAUUAUUCAAAUGGCUGUCACUUUUUUUUUUGGAUCCAACAUUCUGUGACGUACUGUAUUGUUUUUAAAAAUAUUUACUGGGAAAUCAAGUCCCUAUGGCAGCUCACUUUUAGGGCCCGUUUGGCAAUAAAUACCAAAAACUUUUUCACUUUUUUUGGAAUUUUUGAAGUUGGAGUUGGAGUUGGAGUUGUGUUUGGCCAUAGUUUUUGAAAUUGUAAUUUUUGGUGAAAUGUAGUGUAAAAAAGUGAAAAAAAGUUGAAAAUUUUUGAAAAACAAGUUUUUCUUGUUUUUAGUAUUCCGGAGUACAACUCCAGAAAAAAGUGAAUACUUUUUGUGGCCAAAUGCUAAAAGUAAAAAAAGUGAAAAAAAAUUCCGGAAAAAAAGUGAAUAAUUUUUAUGGCCAAACGCCCACUUAAUUUUUAUGGCCUGUAUACUGCUGCACUUAAGGUAGACGUUAGGUUGAAAUGGCUGUCACUUUCUUUUUUCCUUCCAACAUUCUAUGACGUACUGUAUUGUUUGUAAAAAUAUUUACCGGAAAAGCAAGUUUUUUAUGGCUUGUAUACUGCUAUACUUAAGGUAGACAUUUGUUUAUCUGCUUGUGUCUCAUUUCAAUUUUUUAAUGCAUAAUUGCUAUCGUUUCCUUAUGCUGAAGUAACAAAAGAGAAAUUUUGUCAAAUCGGUAGGAUUUUAAGAUUGUAAGAACUGAAGAUGUUAGAAAUAACCACUGCAUAUCGCAUGAAGUUGACACAUUUUGAAUAGAACUUUUAUCAGUAAUGAGCAAAUUUCCAGGUGUGCUCAUUCAGGUGUAUGAAGAGAAAGGAUAAUGACCGAUGACAACAACCUUCUUGGUAAGUUUGACCUUAAAGCACUUUAUAACUAUAUAUAUUCGUGCCAAUCAUUUACUCUAGCAUCAAACUUGACCUGGUUCAGUUCAUGGUGGUCAGACUGACCAAAUUUUGGUCUCAUAUACGUGAUUUUUGCAAUUUUCUAGAACAAAAUUUAUACUUGAACUGCAGAUGUAGCAACACUGCGAAAACAAUUUUUCAGAGAGAUAAUGUCCACUGUUUAUCUGGGAGAACAGUCUUGAAAGAAAAUUUGCCCGAAUUGUCAAGAAGUGUUUUGGUCAAUAUUUUGGCGAUGAGGGUACAUAUCAGUAGAUUCUUUUAGUAGCUCAUAUGUAUCGGAUUUCAUUUACCUGCGGUUGGAAACUAAUGAACGGCUCUAUCUAAGAAGAUUUUAGAUUUCUUUAUAAUGAUCAAAUUAUAUUCGCCCUUAUUUUCCGACAAGCUUCCUUUCCUCAGUGUACUUGACCCUCUAAUCCAUAACCACCUUAUGCAAGAAGAGUCAUUUGAGAAAAGAUGACAAUAGAAUAGAGGGAGAAAACAGAGAACAGUGUAUUAUAGUGAAUUGUUGGCUAGAGUUGAUACACUUGUGGAAAUUAAAGGGAAUACGAGGUAUAUUACACUGCUAAAAGGGAAUCAAUACUACUGCUACCACUUAAGUAUAGGAGUAGAGUUGUUCUUCACUUCCUCUUAUAGGAAAUGUAAUAUGUAAAGUAAAGUAGCAUCAAGAGGACACUUAAGAAAUUACCAGAAUUCGUUUUACGUUAGCGUUUCUAUUUGAGUAGAGCCAUUCUGCGGGUCGCAUUCAGUGGAGCAUUUCCCAUUUUGGACAAGCUAAUGCCAAGGGAUUAAUUAUUUGAGCAGAAGAAGAUGACUUAUAACAUUUGAUGUCAACUUUGAGAAAAGUAGUUCUGUUGCUGUUUAUGAACAUUUCUCUUUUAGGCUUUCAGAGGUUGGAUCCAUAAGGUGCAUUCUAUUGCGUUGUCAUUGGCGAUACUUAUUUUUCGAUAGAUUGCUUUUCAAAGUGACUGAACCCUAAAGUGGUGAUAUAUGUUUUGUUUAAUGCACCGGGCGAUGCUAUCAGCUUGCUAAACUAUAAUUUUCAAGAUCGAGUUGAAAAUGUUCUAAAAUAUAUAGAGGAUGGAGAUAUUCACAAAUGGAGUUUGCUUGAUAUUAGGGAAUUGAAUUGCAUCACUAAUCCUCAUAUGUAAGAACAGGUUCGCAAUUAUUUCCUGACCUUUGCUUUGUUCUGUGUGUGUAUGUGUGGGGAGGGGGGGCUUAGUUUUCCAGGAUGGAAGACCGGAGAUAAUAAAGCAUGCAUUUGACGCUAUGUAGUUUGUCCAUUUAUUUGCAUUCAAAUGGAGUUGAGGAGCUGAUCUAGAUAAGUCAUGUUGCAUUCCCUUUUUACAGAAUAUGUAAUCCCUUCCGAUCUUAGUGAAUUGAUUUGAAGUCGUUUUGCUCGAUUAUUACUAAUUGUCCAGUACUAUGUUAUUAAGUUCGUUCAUGAAUGAUACUUUGUGCUAUAUCAAAACAUAGUUUGGUUACCUCAGUUCCAGUAUAGUACUGUUUGAGUGUAUUGAAGUUUGAAUGCAAUAGUGAUAGAGUGGUUGCUUCAUAAACUACUAUGUUAUUUGAAGAACUUGGAUAUGAAUUGAUUUGAUUCUGGGAAGAAAAUUUUGAAACGCAUAUUCUUAUACGUGCGAAUUUUGUUAAUGAUAAUGGAAUCGACUUUGUCCAAUUACAUAACACACGUGAUAAGCCAAAGGCAAAAUCUUUGGCCAAUUCUCUCAUAUCCCUCCAGAAAGAAACAGAAUAGGACUGGUAACACCAAAUGAUAGGUACAUACCUUUUUUGUUAUUUUUAUUUUAAUUCACGUGUCAAGUUAAUGCUUAUCAGUGAUGUGCCUUAAACAACUCAGAUUUCCUAUUUUGGGAAUUGAAUUCACAUUUUUGUCCCUGUGUAAUACCAUGUGAUGCAUGCCCACUGUCCCUCUCAUAUACAUAGUUAAUGAGAUAAAAACUUUUGGCUUCAUUUCCAUUGAAAGAAUUAGUUGCAAAUUAAUUUUGAUAUAAUAUUUUAUGUAGGAUAGAUAAUAUACACUUUUGAUUUUUAUGUAUUCCUGGUGUGGGUAAAGUUACAUAUGCCAUUAAAGAACCCACAGCACUGAAAUUUGUGCGUAGUAUUUCGUAUUUGUUGCAGAAUAUUUGCCAUUUGUACCACAAUUUUUUAUAUAGAAAACUAUUUAAAUGUGAAAAAAGCAUGCAGUUCUGGAAUGUGUAACAGUAUAACCUGCUUUUGUCUUUUGUUUUCUACUUAGCAAUGUUUUCUGUGAGAGGCUUUUAGUAAGUUCAUUAGAAGUAAAAUGAAAAUGGGAGAGCUUGAGAGAUGCAUAAGAUGUUGCAAGUCUCAAGAGAUUCAUAAGAUGUUGCAAGUUGCAACUGCCAUACAGUUCUAUUUGACGCAAACAAUUGGCGUUAUUUCGUAACUUAUCUUUAUCAGGUUAAGAUUAAGGAAAAAAAAACAUAUUUUACCUGAGGAAUAUAGCUUCAAGGAAUUGUUGAAUAAGAUAUAACGUACGGGGGAAAUUGUAAGGGGAAGAGGGGUUCACUGUACGUACAUCAUAAAUUUAUGAUUAAUUUUUCAAUUUGUUCUUUAUGUUUAGUAUUGUAUGUAUAACUGAUUAUAUAAAUGUAACACAAAUAAUUAAGUUACAUUUGCUUGGGUUAUAUCCUGUAUUUCAAAAAGGAAAUGGCGCACAAAUUAGAUCUUUUCGUUGAAAUGGUAUUACUACUAUAGUCCUUUAGCACCUCACAUCACCUUCACCUUACUGAUGCUUUGCAUAUUAUUUAAUUGGUUUGUGGCUAACUAUUUGUGAUAUUGACAUAGGGCUGGCCUCACUCUGAUUUUUCGGUGAACGUGUGGUAGGGUACUCCUUUCCGUUUGGGUAGCAUGCAUAUUCAAGUACUGUUAUGUGCAUAAGAAAUUGAUUCUGCAUCAUUUAGCUCCAGAACACACAGCUCCUUCAAGGAAGUGGCUAAAUGGAAUAUCUGUGUGUUCACACAACUCUUUUAAUGGCCCGGAGUCUUUUGGAGCAUGCUAAGUCUGAGUCUACCACUUUUUUAAAGCUAUAAUGGAGUACAAAAAUGGAUCUGCCAUGGACAAUGUUUUGAAUACAUAUGUUAGCACAUAAUAGACACCUCCAGAUUGAUUACUCAAGCAAGUAUUUGUUGGACAAAUAGUUUAAUAUUCUAUUCUAGUAUUUUUUAGUUGUUGCACUACUUCAUUUGUAGAUUUCUCAAUCCUGACUUCACUGAUAUUUACAUGUGUUUCUCAGGUUCGUCGACAUGUCCCAAUGCUAUGGUUUUUUGUAAUGCAGAAGAUUGGCUACUGAGAUUGGAACUUCAUCCACCACACUACAACUGUUAAAUUAGGAUUUCCUCAUGAUGUAUCUUAUAGAUACAUUUGGUGUAUUAUGUCUAUAAUAAUAAGUAGUAGUUAUAUUUUUGGUGUAUUACGUCUACAAUAACAAUGCUUGCAAAUGGUUUAACUAAACAGUACUUGUGUUUGUUGUACGUAUUGUGAAUAUAUAUAGUAGUAUUCUAUUAAGCAUGUAUUGCAGUAA
Lycium barbarum (goji berry) is the source of this 6346-nucleotide long non-coding RNA. RefSeq lists it as uncharacterized. Lineage: Eukaryota; Viridiplantae; Streptophyta; Magnoliopsida; Solanales; Solanaceae. The record is from RefSeq and is a predicted model, not a curated record. The transcript has 2 exons.